AUGUUGAUGGAGAUUGGCCCUCACCCAAUGAGAGGAGCAUUGGUGAUGACGAUAGCGAUGAUUUCCCCCUCCCGGAGGGAAAUGUCCCCGGUAGAACAGCUCCGCUGGGGCCCUAGAUUGGUUCCGCCAAGGUUCCGCCUCAUGGCGGCGGAGUCUCGUCAUGAAAGCUUGCUUAUGAUUUUUUCCUCAACGAAAGACUCCAUAUAG
This 207-nucleotide ribosomal RNA is filed under the name Triticum aestivum (bread wheat). Its description in RNAcentral is "partial small subunit ribosomal RNA". Lineage: Eukaryota; Viridiplantae; Streptophyta; Magnoliopsida; Poales; Poaceae. The record is from RNAcentral.